CAGUCGCCGCGGUAAUACGUAGGGCGCAAGCGUUGUCCGGAAUUAUUGGGCGUAAAGAGCUCGUAGGCGGUCUGUCGCGUCUGGUGUGAAAUCCCGAGGCUCAACCUCGGGCUUGCAUCGGGUACGGGCAGACUAGAGUGCGGUAGGGGAGACUGGAAUUCCUGGUGUAGCGGUGGAAUGCGCAGAUAUCAGGAGGAACACCGAUGGCGAAGGCAGGUCUCUGGGCCGCAACUGACGCUGAGGAGCGAAAGCAUGGGGAGCGAACAGGAUUAGAGACCCCGGUAGUCCUGUCUCUUAACAA
This 301-nucleotide ribosomal RNA is filed under the name uncultured bacterium. Its description in RNAcentral is "partial 16S ribosomal RNA". It matches the Rfam family "Bacterial small subunit ribosomal RNA", at positions 509 to 809 of the family's 1533-position model. The record is from RNAcentral.